AGAGUUUGAUCAUGGCUCAGCCUGAACGCUGGCGGCGUGGCUAAGACAUGCAAGUCACACGGGGUAGCAAUACCCAGUGGCGAACGGGAGAGUAAUGAAUCGGUAACGUACCCCGGACUCUGGGAUAGCUACCCGAAAGGGUAGGUAAUACCAGUAUAACAUAACCUGCAGGCAUCUGCGGGUUCUCAAAGGUCCGCCGGUCUGGGAGCGGCCGAUUUCGUAUCAGCUAGUUGGUGAGGUAACGGCUCACCAAGGCGACGACGCGUAGCCGGACUGAGAGGUUGGCCGGCCUCAUUGGGACUGAGACACUGCCCAGACUCCUACGGGGGGCUGCAGUAACGAAUCUUCCGCAAUGCACGAAAGUGUGACGGAGCGACGCCGCGUGUGGGACGAAGCCCUUCGGGGUGUAAACCACUGUCAGGGGUUACCAAGUUCUGAGGAGCCCCAGAGGAAGGCACGGCUAACUCUGUGCCAGCAGCCGCGGUAAUAC
RNAcentral lists this ribosomal RNA (490 nucleotides) under uncultured bacterium. RNAcentral describes it as "bacterial SSU rRNA". It matches the Rfam family "Bacterial small subunit ribosomal RNA", at positions 8 to 526 of the family's 1533-position model. The record is from RNAcentral.